Molecule: long non-coding RNA, 266 nt
Organism: Tarenaya hassleriana
Lineage: Eukaryota; Viridiplantae; Streptophyta; Magnoliopsida; Brassicales; Cleomaceae
Exons: 2
Source: RefSeq, a predicted model, not a curated record
CAUCAUCGUUCUUUUAUUUUUCCAGGGAAUUGUUUUGCUUCUCAUAUUGAUAUGUGACCUUUGCUGUAUGGUCGAGAUAGACACUUCGGCUAGAUUCAAGACUCCUCAAGAAUCCUGAGUUGUAGAAUUCACCCGCUUGGUCAGAAUCUGGGGUUUUAUGCACUACGCAUGGUGAAAGGGGCGAGAAGAGGAAGCUUUGAAUAGAGAGCAUAGUAUAUAUGGAUCAUCUAGGGUUCCCAAUGAUCAAUUCAUUAUUCCUAUCUAAC